UACGAGUGACCAUAAUGUUGACAUGGUAUAAAAUAUCAAGUAAGUUGUCCAGUAGGUAGAGGUAGACGCAACUCGGGUUCGUUUAUCAGGGUGGCUAUUUACUGAGUUAGUCAAACUUCUUCUGGGUUGUUGGAGUUGUUGUUUUUGGGCAUGGACUCAGGCAAUGCGGUAGUGCCUGGCUGAGAUAAGGUCUUUGACCAACUAGGCAUAUUCUAGCACCUCAGCAUACGAGCUGAAUCUUAGCAUCAUAACCCGGUCAUAGAUAUCAACACGAAGGCUGUUUAAAAAUAUCAUAUCUUUAUGACUUCUAAGGGUGACCAUUAGAGGAGC
RNAcentral lists this long non-coding RNA (330 nucleotides) under Carica papaya (papaya). Its description in RNAcentral is "long non-coding RNA (CPAP_LNC009872)". The record is from RNAcentral. Lineage: Eukaryota; Viridiplantae; Streptophyta; Magnoliopsida; Brassicales; Caricaceae.